RNAcentral lists this ribosomal RNA (559 nucleotides) under uncultured bacterium. RNAcentral's name for it is "bacterial SSU rRNA". It matches the Rfam family "Bacterial small subunit ribosomal RNA", at positions 119 to 674 of the family's 1533-position model. The record is from RNAcentral.
AGGAAUCUGCCUGGUAGUGGGGGACAACGUUUCGAAAGGAACGCUAAUACCGCAUACGUCCUACGGGAGAAAGCAGGGGACCUUCGGGCCUUGCGCUAUCAGAUGAGCCUAGGUCGGAUUAGCUAGUUGGUGGGGUAAUGGCUCACCAAGGCGACGAUCCCUAACUGGUCUGAGAGGAUGAUCAGUCACACUGGAACUGAGACACGGUCCAGACUCCUACGGGAGGCAGCAGUGGGGAAUAUUGGACAAUGGGCGAAAGCCUGAUCCAGCCAUGCCGCGUGUGUGAAGAAGGUCUUCGGAUUGUAAAGCACUUUAAGUUGGGAGGAAGGGCAGUAAGCGAAUACCUUGCUGUUUUGACGUUACCGACAGAAUAAGCACCGGCUAACUCUGUGCCAGCAGCCGCGGUAAUACAGAGGGUGCAAGCGUUAAUCGGAAUUACUGGGCGUAAAGCGCGCGUAGGUGGUUUGUUAAGUUGGAUGUGAAAGCCCCGGGCUCAACCUGGGAACUGCAUCCAAAACUGGCAAGCUAGAGUACAGUAGAGGGUGGUGGAAUUUCCUGU